GCUGGGCGUGGUGGCUCAUGCCUGUAAUCCCAGCACUUUGGGAGGCCGAGGUGGGUGGAUCACCUGAGAUCAGGAGUUUGAGACCAGCCUGGCCAACAUGGUGAAACCCCAUCUCUU
Non-coding RNA from Pan troglodytes (chimpanzee), 117 nucleotides. It matches the Rfam family "Metazoan signal recognition particle RNA". Rfam says of the family: The signal recognition particle (SRP) is a universally conserved ribonucleoprotein. Lineage: Eukaryota; Metazoa; Chordata; Mammalia; Primates; Hominidae. The record is from Rfam.